Long non-coding RNA from Ostrinia nubilalis (European corn borer), 1199 nucleotides. RefSeq lists it as uncharacterized. The transcript is spliced from 3 exons. Lineage: Eukaryota; Metazoa; Arthropoda; Insecta; Lepidoptera; Crambidae. The record is from RefSeq and is a predicted model, not a curated record.
AAAGAAAGAAAGAAAAUAAUUUUAUUUUGACAACCACAGAUUCAGGCAAUAAAGACAUUACAUAAAAAAAAAUAUUACUAAGUUGCCAAAAAAGGUCACCCACUCAGUAAUAUCUUGACAGUGUGACUGCCAAGACACUGAUUUUCAGUGGGUGCCUUUUUGCAGCGCUAUUUAUCAAAAACAGAAGAAAAAAGAGUAAAAAAAUAAUAAUAAAAAUCAUAAAUUAAGCAUUCAAUACAUUGAUCAAUUAUAAAAAAUUUAAAAUUAAAUAAUAACAAGAUGCAUAACUAAUUAAAUUAAAAACAUAAAUAACAAUAUUAAUAAUACAUACAUAGACAUGUCACAAACAAAAACCAUUUCUACUGCACGGCCAUAAAAGUCGAGGCAGAGACAGAAGAGAAAAAAAAAAAAAAAAAACACAUUAAAAAAAAAAGUAUCACUUGUCAAGUUGACUUGACAUUUGCCACGUCCACCAGCCACGUAACUAAAAUAAAAUUAACAAUCGGUUUCUAAUAAGUAAUCUGUGAUCGGUUUUAGCAAUAAUGUACAUAGUUAUUAACUUAACUUUUAUAAAAUUGUGAUUAAAUUCCAUUGAGUAGAAAUUAUAAUAUUGUGGUUAAAAUAAAUAAAAAUGUCAAUCAGGUGCCGAAAAUUGAUGAACAUGAUAGGGUGUUCAGUAGGGGAGACCUAAAUACAUUUAAUUGGGAUCUCAUUCAACCACCCAACGAGAGCAUCGGAACGACUAAGGGCAUAAUGGUAAAAGGGAACUAAGAAGAGUAGCGUUCUCAAAGCCGGAACGACGCCAAAGCCCAACGAACGACGUGCGUGCUCCGAUGUGCACGCAAUGGUGGGGGCAAAUCGUUCCAGCAUCGAGACGCUGCAAAUCUAAACGAUCCUCGAAAUGCCGCUGUACGAUGUCUCGGAGUGAGGAAGACGUGAGUAAUCACCCUUCUCUUAUGCUCACUGCGACAAGGUGCACGGACUAGCUUGUCCAAGAGAUAUUGCGGCCGUCCUGUAUUAAUGACGCCGAACAACAUUGUCGCCAAGUGCAACUUUCUACGGGCCUCCAUCUUCAUCUGAUUGGCUGCAUUGAGGAAUGGCGUAACAUGAGACCGUGGCGGGACAUGGAAGCAGAAGCGAGCACAUGCAUUUUGAACCCGCUGCAACAACUUCGCUGAACUUGCUAACAGACAGGGCCC